Molecule: ribosomal RNA, 468 nt
Filed under: uncultured bacterium
Lineage: Bacteria
Description: partial 16S ribosomal RNA
Rfam family: Bacterial small subunit ribosomal RNA
Source: RNAcentral
ACGAACGCUGGCGGCGUGCUUAACACAUGCAAGUCGAACGGUGAAGCGAGUGCUUGCACUCGUGGAUCAGUGGCGAACGGGUGAGUAACACGUGAGUAACCUGCCCAUCACUCUGGGAUAAGCACUGGAAACGGUGUCUAAUACUGGAUACGACCAACCCUUGCAUGGGGUGUUGGUGGAAAGAUUUAUCGGUGAUGGAUGGACUCGCGGCCUAUCAGCUUGUUGGCGGGGUAAUGGCCCACCAAGGCGACGACGGGUAGCCGGCCUGAGAGGGUGACCGGCCACACUGGGACUGAGACACGGCCCAGACUCCUACGGGAGGCAGCAGUGGGGAAUAUUGCACAAUGGGCGAAAGCCUGAUGCAGCGACGCAGCGUGAGGGAUGACGGCCUUCGGGUUGUAAACCUCUUUCAGCAGGGAAGAAGCGAAAGUGACGGUACCUGCAGAAGAAGCACCGGCUAACUACGUG